This 684-nucleotide ribosomal RNA is filed under the name uncultured Basidiomycota. RNAcentral's name for it is "eukaryotic LSU rRNA". The stretch from base 237 to 390 matches the Rfam family "5.8S ribosomal RNA". The record is from RNAcentral. Lineage: Eukaryota; Fungi; Basidiomycota.
CUUGGUCAUUUAGAGGAAGUAAAAGUCGUAACAAGGUCUCCGUAGGUGAACCUGCGGAAGGAUCAUUAGUGAAUUAAACAUGCUUGGUGUCUUCGCUUCGGCAAGGCCCUUGCUUAAAUCACAUCCUAACACCUGUGAACUGUAAGACGUAUGAUGAGGUCUUUGGCCAAGUCAUCGUCUGCCCAUUUUUAACAAACAAUUAAUGUAACAAACGUAGUCUUAUUAUAACCUAAUAAAACUUUCAACAACGGAUCUCUUGGCUCUCGCAUCGAUGAAGAACGCAGCGAAAUGCGAUAAGUAAUGUGAAUUGCAGAAUUCAGUGAAUCAUCGAAUCUUUGAACGCACCUUGCGCUCUUUGGUAUUCCGAAGAGCAUGCCUGUUUGAGUGUCAUGAAAAUAUCAACCUUGACUUGGGUUUUGUGCUCUAGUCUUGGCUUGGAAUUGGGUGCUUGCCGCUUUUACGAGCGGCUCACCUUAAAUGUAUUAGCUGGAUCUGUCUUUGAGACUUGGUUUGACUUGGCGUAAUAAGUAUUUCGCUAAGGACAUUCUUCGGAGUGGCCUCGUUUCUAGGACGCUUGUCCGCUUCCCAAUACAAGUUCCACCUCGUGGACAUGACUUUUUUAUUAUCUGGCCUCAAAUCAGGUAGGACUACCCGCUGAACUUAAGCAUAUCAAUAAGCGGAGGA